CAUCAUCAUAUUGCAUAUAAAGGGUAUUACACUACACAUUUUGAAAUUUAUUUGUCUGGCUCUGCUUUGUGAGAGUUCUCCAUGUUGAUAAAUGUAGCUAUAGUUCAUUUGCUUUCACUGCUCUAGGGUAUUUCACUGUGUGACUCUACCACAAUUCAUUGAUCUAUUCUGUCGAUAGACACUUGUUUCUCAUGUUUUGCUUUUAAGAACAAUGAGGCUAUAAGUUCUAGUGUAUAUGUCUCCAUUUUCUUGGGCAAGGUUGUGUUUGUUUCCUUUGCAGAUCAACUCCUUGCCCUUAUGCUGCUCUGCUCUGUAUCUCGGGACCAGACCCACAUGGGUUGCAUUUCCCAGGCCCCUCUCCAAUCAUGAGCUAACCUGUAAACCAGGCGUGUCUUAUCUGUGUUGACAAGUCUUCUGCAACCCAAUCCCCUGGACAGGGCAUGUGCAGAGAAGUGGUUCAUAGCUGGCUAGCCAAGGAACACAGAUGGCUGGACUCAAGAAACAUCAGGCUCUAUUUGCUGCAGAUCCCAGCCAGGAGACUAGAGGAGGUGUGGCUUCACUAGGGGCAACUUCCAGGCUUUUCUAGCCUAACUGUACUCCAGGUUCAGCUGAACUCAAGCCUAUAAUGGGAACUUGUUUCUCUCCAUUUUUACCGAGCCUGGUUUGGAAAGUUUAUUGGAUAGGGCAAGUCCCUGAAACGUAACCAGCUCCAUGCAAUGUGGCCAACUGGCAGCCAAGAGCCAUGCUGAGUUGGAGCAGAGAAUACACCGACACUGUAUGGCCAGAGCCUAGUGCUGCCAUGGGAAGCCUAGAGAGCUGAGCAUGACUCCUCAGCAGGCUGAAGAAUGAGCUUAGGACCUGCCUGAUGCUUCCCUGGCUGCAUAGGCUUGGACGUUCGUCUCUCCACUGGCAAUGGCAGCCUCGAGUAUAAACCCACUGCGAGGACUGACUCCCCAGAGCAAAGGUCAGGAGCUUGUGUAACGUGUAUUUUAGAACAGUUAUACUUGCAUAUGCUAUUUUUAAAAUUCAAAGAAUAUAACAAAAAGAACACAAAUUCUUAAUUCUUCUCAUCAGCUGGGUUCUCACCUCUCACUCCCCUCUCCAGCUCCUUAACAUUUUCUUUAUACAAACUCAAGCAAAUUUGAAUAUAUCUUGUUAUACUUCCCAAUUUUUAUACAAAAAUAACAUACAGGCAGUUUUUAAAAAAACUACAGAUUUAAGUGAUGUUUAAUUGAUAGUUUUUAAACUCAGGUUUUAAUUUUUAAUUAGAUAUUUCCUGUGAAUUGACUAUCAUUUGGAUAAUUUUUCCUUAUCUCCUAUG
RNAcentral lists this long non-coding RNA (1321 nucleotides) under Homo sapiens (human). RNAcentral's name for it is "non-protein coding lnc-CDK1-4:1". The record is from RNAcentral. Lineage: Eukaryota; Metazoa; Chordata; Mammalia; Primates; Hominidae.